This 468-nucleotide ribosomal RNA is filed under the name uncultured bacterium. RNAcentral describes it as "partial 16S ribosomal RNA". It matches the Rfam family "Bacterial small subunit ribosomal RNA", at positions 28 to 507 of the family's 1533-position model. The record is from RNAcentral.
GACGAACGCUGGCGGCGUGCUUAACACAUGCAAGUCGAACGGAAAGGCCCUGCUUUUGUGGGGUGCUCGAGUGGCGAACGGGUGAGUAACACGUGAGUAACCUGCCCUUGACUUUGGGAUAACUUCAGGAAACUGGGGCUAAUACCGGAUAGGAGCUCCUGCUGCAUGGUGGGGGUUGGAAAGUUUCGGCGGUUGGGGAUGGACUCGCGGCUUAUCAGCUUGUUGGUGGGGUAGUGGCUUACCAAGGCUUUGACGGGUAGCCGGCCUGAGAGGGUGACCGGCGACAUUGGGACUGAGAUACGGCCCAGACUCCUACGGGAGGCAGUAGUGGGGAAUAUUGCACAAUGGGCGGAAGCCUGAUGCAGCAACGUCGCGUGCGGGAUGACGGCCUUCGGGUUGUAAACCGCAUUAGCCUGUGACGAAGCGUGAGUGACGGUAAUGGGUAAAGAAGCACCGGCUAACUACGUG